ACACGUAGGAGGCGAGCGUUAUCCGGAUUUACUGGGUGUAAAGCGCGUGCAGGCGGUUCAGAAAGUUGGAUGUGAAAGCUCCUGGCUUAACUGGGAGAGGUCGUUCAAUACUUCUGGACUCGAGAGUGGGAGAGGGAGGUGGAAUUCCGGGUGUAGUGGUGAAAUGCGUAGAUAUCCGGAGGAACACCGGUGGCGAAGGCGACUUCCUGGACCAAUACUGACGCUGAUGCGCGAAGGUGUGGGUAGC
This 247-nucleotide ribosomal RNA is filed under the name uncultured bacterium. Its description in RNAcentral is "partial 16S ribosomal RNA". It matches the Rfam family "Bacterial small subunit ribosomal RNA", at positions 523 to 769 of the family's 1533-position model. The record is from RNAcentral.